Pollicipes pollicipes is the source of this 869-nucleotide long non-coding RNA. RefSeq lists it as uncharacterized. The transcript has 3 exons. Lineage: Eukaryota; Metazoa; Arthropoda; Thecostraca; Pollicipedomorpha; Pollicipedidae. The record is from RefSeq and is a predicted model, not a curated record.
UAACAAAAUCCAAAGUUCAUACUUGCAGACAACUCAAAUCUGCACCUUCAAAUGACCCUGCUUUAUUCUCGGCUUCGUAACGUCCACUUUCGUUGCCAUGGAAACCAGCCAAACCCUGAUCUGCUAAGAACGGAACUGCUGCUUUCAAUCCGUUUGAGUGAAGUAGCGUUUAACCAAUGUAACAUACCGCACAGAAGGUAUAAAUUUGCAGUGGUGCAGAAUUAUUUCCAUUAGAAUGGACUUAUGCUUUUAAGCACAACUUAAGGGGGGUUUAACUGCCAUCAGUUGGAUAGUUUUACUGAAAAUCUCAAGACAGUCCAGUCGUUUGAAGGCUGUCUAGCAGGACGACAUGCCUGAAGAACAGAAACUCGUGAUGCGACUUAGUUCACCCGAGAGGUCGCACCAGAAUGAACGCCGUGGAAGCAUAAGUUUCAAAAGUUUACUUUGCAGAUUUAUUGUGAAUGUGUUACUGUUUUGUUUAUCGGUAAUCAUCUUGUAUCACUGCUAUCGGAUCAUAUUUCUGUGUCUUUUCGCAUUGCUACAGACCAUUGAUGGCAUACUUCAAACCAUUGGGCGUCGCAAUUACACAGUGCAGAUCAGGCGGCGGGAAGACGAACUUCGAGUUGAAACCCAGAUUGACGCCUUACUUCAGAUAAGCCACGUCAUCACAUCCCGCCGUGGUCAAGGCGCAUGUCAUGCAAGAGAAACCGUUAAAGACUUCGCUAAGGGAACGGAAGUUUUUGCUGAUGGCCGCGACUGCUUUGUGCGAUUUUUCAAUGCUAGCGAAGAAGACUACGACCAGCAAAUUCUUCUUUUCCAAGCCUUAAAGGGACUGCCCAUGAUCCAAGCGACCGAGCCUGUCACGAUGC